CCUGGCAAUACUGAGGUUGUGU
RNAcentral lists this microRNA (22 nucleotides) under Ornithorhynchus anatinus (platypus). RNAcentral describes it as "oan-miR-875-3p". Its record names the gene oan-miR-875-3p. The record is from miRBase by way of RNAcentral. Lineage: Eukaryota; Metazoa; Chordata; Mammalia; Monotremata; Ornithorhynchidae.